CGGACGGGUGAGUAACGCGUGAGAACAUGCCCUUAGAUUGGGGACAACAGUUGGAAACGACUGCUAAUACCGAAUGAACCGAGAGGUAAAAGAUUUAUCGUCUAAGGAUUGGCUCGCGUCAGAUUAGCUAGUUGGAGUGGUAACGGCACACCAAGGCGACGAUCUGUACUUGGUCUGAGAGGAUGACCAGGCACACUGGAACUGAGACACGGUCCAGACUCCUACGGGAGGCAGCAGUGGGGAAUUUUCCGCAAUGGGCGCAAGCCUGACGGAGCAAUACCGCGUGAGGGAGGAAGCUUUUUGGAGUGUAAACCUCUUUUAUUAGGGAAGAAAUGAUGACGGUACCUAAUGAAUCAGCAUCGGCUAACUCCGUGCCAGCAGCCGCGGUAAUACGGAGGAUGCAAGCGUUAUCCGGAAUUAUUGGGCGUAAAGCGUCCGUAGGUGGCACUUCAAGUCUUUUGUCAAAGCGUGCAGCUUAACUGCAUACAGGCGGAGGAAACUGGAGCGCUAGAGUGCGAUAGGGGUCACAGGAAUUCCCAGUGUAGCGGUGAAAUGCGUAGAUAUUGGGAAGAACACCAGCGGCGAAAGCGUGUGACUGGGUCUGCACUGACACUGAGGGACGAAAGCUAGGGGAGCGAAAGGGAUUAGAUACCCCUGUAGUC
RNAcentral lists this ribosomal RNA (662 nucleotides) under uncultured bacterium. Its description in RNAcentral is "bacterial SSU rRNA". It matches the Rfam family "Bacterial small subunit ribosomal RNA", at positions 99 to 795 of the family's 1533-position model. The record is from RNAcentral.